This 357-nucleotide ribosomal RNA is filed under the name Triticum aestivum (bread wheat). Its description in RNAcentral is "partial small subunit ribosomal RNA". Lineage: Eukaryota; Viridiplantae; Streptophyta; Magnoliopsida; Poales; Poaceae. The record is from RNAcentral.
AUGAGCCGAAAGAUCUUCCUCAGGAUUGUCAAGUCCAUCAGGGAGUUCGACAGCUACUUCAAGUGCAAGAAGGAUUGCACCGGCACACUUGGAUUCACCUCACUCCAAAAGUGCACAACAGCUAUGAGGAUGCUUUCAUACGGAGCUCCCGGUGAUUCACGGGAAGACUAUGGGCGCACGGCCGAGUUCAUGACCAUUGAGUGUUUCUACAAGUUCUGCAGGGCAGUGGUGGUAGUGUUUGGACCGCAAUACUUGCGAUCACCCAAUGCUGAAGUCACUGGUCGGAUCCUAGCACAAAAUGCAGCUAGAGGAUUUCCAGGGAUGCUUGGAAGCAUCGACUGCAUGCAUUGGAAAUGA